AUUGAACGCUGGCGGCAUGCCUUACACAUGCAAGUCGAACGGUAACAGGUCUUCGGAUGCUGACGAGUGGCGAACGGGUGAGUAAUACAUCGGAACGUGCCUAGUAGUGGGGGAUAACUACUCGAAAGAGUGGCUAAUACCGCAUGAGAUCUACGGAUGAAAGCAGGGGAUCGCAAGACCUUGUGCUACUAGAGCGGCCGAUGGCAGAUUAGGUAGUUGGUGGGAUAAAAGCUUACCAAGCCGACGAUCUGUAGCUGGUCUGAGAGGACGAUCAGCCACACGGGGACUGAGACACGGCACAGACUCCUACGGGAGGCAGCAGUGGGGAAUUUUGGACAAUGGGCGAAAGCCUGAUCCAGCAAUGCCGCGUGCAGGAUGAAGGCGUUCGGGUUGUAAACUGCUUUUGUACGGAACGAAAAGCCCCGGGUUAAUACCCUGGGGUCAUGACGGUACCGUAAGAAUAAGCACCGGCUAACUACGUGCCAGCCGCCGCAGUAA
RNAcentral lists this ribosomal RNA (498 nucleotides) under uncultured bacterium. RNAcentral describes it as "partial 16S ribosomal RNA". It matches the Rfam family "Bacterial small subunit ribosomal RNA", at positions 30 to 523 of the family's 1533-position model. The record is from RNAcentral.